UGACUAGUAUUUCAGAUCAAGGGCAAA
Molecule: non-coding RNA, 27 nt
Filed under: Rattus norvegicus (Norway rat)
Lineage: Eukaryota; Metazoa; Chordata; Mammalia; Rodentia; Muridae
Source: RNAcentral